GACGAACGCUGGCGGCGUGCUUAACACAUGCAAGUCGAACGGAAAGGCCCUGCUUUUGUGGGGUGCUCGAGUGGCGAACGGGUGAGUAACACGUGAGUAACCUGCCCUUGACUUUGGGAUAACUUCAGGAAACUGGGGCUAAUACCGGAUAGGAGCUCCUGCUGCAUGGUGGGGGUUGGAAAGUUUCGGCGGUUGGGGAUGGACUCGCGGCUUAUCAGCUUGUUGGUGGGGUAGUGGCUUACCAAGGCUUUGACGGGUAGCCGGGCUGGGAGGGUAACCGGCUAAGUUGGGACUGGAAUACGGCCCAGACUCCUACGGGAGGCAGCAGUGGGGAAUAUUGCACAAUGGGCGGAAGCCUGAUGCGGCACCGCCGCGUGCGGGAUGACAGCCUUCGGUUUGUGAUCCGCUUUCGCCUGUGACGAGGCGUGAGUGACGGUAAUGGGUAAAGAAGCACCGGCUAACUACGUG
Molecule: ribosomal RNA, 468 nt
Filed under: uncultured bacterium
Lineage: Bacteria
Description: partial 16S ribosomal RNA
Rfam family: Bacterial small subunit ribosomal RNA
Source: RNAcentral